RNAcentral lists this ribosomal RNA (504 nucleotides) under uncultured bacterium. RNAcentral's name for it is "bacterial SSU rRNA". It matches the Rfam family "Bacterial small subunit ribosomal RNA", at positions 28 to 517 of the family's 1533-position model. The record is from RNAcentral.
GAUGAACGCUAGCUACAGGCUUAACACAUGCAAGUCGAGGGGCAGCAUGCUGGUAGCUUGCUACCAGUGAUGGCGACCGGCGCACGGGUGAGUAACGCGUAUCCAACCUGCCCACCACUUGGGGAUAACCUUGCGAAAGUAAGACUAAUACCCAAUGAUAUCUCUAGAAGACAUCUGAAAGAGAUUAAAGAUUUAUCGGUGAUGGAUGGGGAUGCGUCUGAUUAGCUUGUUGGCGGGGUAACGGCCCACCAAGGCAACGAUCAGUAGGGGUUCUGAGAGGAAGGUCCCCCACAUUGGAACUGAGACACGGACCAGACUCCUACGGGAGGCAGCAGUGAGGAAUAUUGGUCAAUGGGCGCAGGCCUGAACCAGCCAAAGUCGCGUGAGGGAGGACGGUCCUACGGAUUGUAAACCUCUUUUGUCGGGGAGUAAACGUGCGGGACGCGUCCCGUAUUGAGAGUACCCGAAGAAAAAGCAAUCGGCUAACUCCGUAGCCAGCAGCCG